GUAACGGUGUCUUUAGACACCACCCUUUAUCUUCGAAUUUUUUUAU
Molecule: non-coding RNA, 46 nt
Organism: Picea glauca (white spruce)
Lineage: Eukaryota; Viridiplantae; Streptophyta; Pinopsida; Pinales; Pinaceae
Source: Rfam